This 497-nucleotide ribosomal RNA is filed under the name uncultured bacterium. Its description in RNAcentral is "partial 16S ribosomal RNA". It matches the Rfam family "Bacterial small subunit ribosomal RNA", at positions 28 to 507 of the family's 1533-position model. The record is from RNAcentral.
GAUGAACGCUGGCGGCGUGCCUUAUACAUGCAAGUCGAGCGAACAGACGAGGAGCUUGGCUCACUGACGUUAGCGGCGGACGUGUGAGUAACACGUGGAUAACCUACCUAGAAGACUGGGAGAACUUCGGGAAAUCGGAGCGAAUACCGGAUAAGAUAGUAAACCGCAUAGCUCACUAGUGAAAGACGGUUUUGCUGUUACUUAUAGAUGGAUCCGUGUCGCAUUAGCGAGUUGGUAAGGUAACGGCUUACCAAGGCAACGAUGCGUAGCCGACCUGAGAGGACGACCGGCCACACUGGGACUGAGACACGGCCCAGACUCCUACGGGAGGCAGCAGUGGGGAAUUUUCCGCAAUGGGCGAAAGCCUGACCGAGCAACGCCGCGUGAGGGAUGAAGGCCUUCGGGUCGUAAACCUCUGUUAUCAGGAACGAACAGAUGUGUAAGUAACUCUGCCGGUAAUGACGGUACCUGCUCAGAAAGCCACGGCUAACUACGUG